UCAUCCAUCAGCUACAAUCCAAAUGCUAGUCACCCUCCACCUCCAACUUUGCAACUGUUGCCUUCUCCAUCCCGAACUACCUAUUUGUCACACCUCACCCCUACACAUACUUUUUUUCCCCUUCAGCCUGCAGAGUAUCAAUCCCUUCCAGCUCACAUCUUCCCCAGCACUUCACCGAUCUCUUCUCAAUUUCAAACCAGCAUCUCAUUAGCACCUCCCUCCUUUUGUCUUCUUCCACCCUACCUUCCAAAAUAAGUAGGUUCAUUUCCAAACAAUCUAACAAAAACUUACUGAUAUUUUCCCCAGAAAUUUAGUCUUCCCAAAAAUGCAAUCAUCCUACAGGCAAGCUAACCACACAAGGUAUUAGAUAAAAUGAAGAUUAUGUUCAUCUUCUGAACAUGACAUGAGCUGAAAGAAUAAUUCAUAUAACUUGAUUGCUGCUGCUAAGGGUUAGGAUUCUGCUAUAUAGUUAUACUGUCUGUUGAUACGGAAAACUAAAACACAACUGUUGUCAUGUAUUUGCCUGUUUAUGGUUUUGUCUUCUCCUGUAAUAUAGCUAGUUUUAGCAUGUAGGCAACAAAAACUGAAAACCGCUAAUGAGUACAUAGUCAUACAAUCAAAGACUUUCCUCAUCGCCUACAGUUGAAAAUAUGAUCGGUACUAUUUGGAACAAAUGAGAUCAAUUUUAGUCAAACGUACAUUAAUCUGAGAUAAGCAUCUGCAGAUCAACAUAAAUACAAGAAAAACUACCUUAUGUCAAACUCUUCUGAUUUUUUUACUGCUUUUUGAGCGGCUUUAACUGUCUGAUUUGUCAUCCCAAGAUUUGAACAACAGCAAAGCAUGAUCAGUAACCAAGUUUUGGGAAACAAUAAAAGGUAUGAAGAAAAUUCAGUUUAGAAAAAUAGCAGUAAUCACCAUGAAAUCUCCGGCAUGUAAAGUUCCCAUUUCCACAGAUUGAAUACAACUAUUGAACAAUUCAAUACAACUAUUGAACUCGAAAUUACGCCAUUUUAGCUAUAUUUAAUCAAACCCCACACUAUAUCUUUCUCCAACAAUCCCAAAAAGCAAAACUAUCAGCUCAACCAAGAAUGCAAGCAACCACAAAAUACGCAAAAACCACAAGAAUUGAACUCGAAGUUACGCCAUUUUAGCUACAUUUAAUCAAACCCCACACUAUAUCUUUCUCCAAUAAUCUCAAAAAACAACACUAUCAGCUCAAUCAAGAAAGCCAACAACCACGAAAUACACAAAAACCAACAAUUGAACUCGAAGUUAUGCCAUUUUAGCUAUAUUUAAUCAAACCCCAUACAAUAUUUGUCCAAUAAUCCCAAAAAACAACACUAUCAGCAAUUUAAUCAAUUAAUCAAUAAUGGUAGCAAACACAAAAAGAACAACACUUGAACUCAAAAUUGAGCCAUUUUAGCAACAUUUAAUCAAACCCCAUGAAUUAUCUUCCAACAAAAUCCCAAAAAUGACACUAUUAGCUCAAACACGAGUGGUAGCAACCAUUGAAAAAAGUAAGAGGUUCUAAAAAUUUGAACAAUAAACUGCAAAUAGCUGAGCAUUGCUACAGAACAUUGAAAAUAUUGUUGCUAUCACAGUGUGCUAUCAGAAAAUAAAAUCAGAAUACACAUGCAAGAUGGAACCACUUACAAGAUGAGAUAAUUUGAACAUGAAAUCAGUAGCAAUUUGUGCUAACCCGUUUGG
Molecule: long non-coding RNA, 1707 nt
Filed under: Capsicum annuum
Lineage: Eukaryota; Viridiplantae; Streptophyta; Magnoliopsida; Solanales; Solanaceae
Description: long non-coding RNA (CANN_LNC001090)
Source: RNAcentral